GGUAAAAUGGCUGAAUAUUUAAGCGAUAAAUUGUAAAUUUAUUUAUGAAAUUUAAUUUCUUUUACCA
RNAcentral lists this transfer RNA (67 nucleotides) under Deronectes costipennis. RNAcentral's name for it is "tRNA-Tyr". It matches the Rfam family "tRNA". Rfam says of the family: Transfer RNA (tRNA) molecules are approximately 80 nucleotides in length. Their secondary structure includes four short double-helical elements and three loops (D, anti-codon, and T loops). Further hydrogen bonds mediate the characteristic L-shaped molecular structure. tRNAs have two regions of fundamental functional importance: the anti-codon, which is responsible for specific mRNA codon recognition, and the 3' end, to which the tRNAs corresponding amino acid is attached (by aminoacyl-tRNA synthetases). tRNAs cope with the degeneracy of the genetic code in two manners: having more than one tRNA (with a specific anti-codon) for a particular amino acid; and 'wobble' base-pairing, i.e. permitting non-standard base-pairing at the 3rd anti-codon position. Lineage: Eukaryota; Metazoa; Arthropoda; Insecta; Coleoptera; Dytiscidae. The record is from RNAcentral.